ACAUGGCCUGUACUUUGGACUGUGAUGCAUACCUAUGCUCGCUAUGUCACAUUCCCUGUGGACUUCAUGACUGGGGCUAUGGGAUACCACCUGGAAUAGUUCAUCAGGGAAAAGGAUCCAAGGCCUGUGGAGGAGGAGAAGAGCAUCUCAGAGCAACGGGAGGAUCACAAGCUCGGUGAGCUGCUUAGCAAGGAGCACACCCAGGUGAUGAGCCUUAAGGGCCAGCUGGAAUUUUCCCUGAAGCUGUCCUUAGCAGAAACUGCCCAGAAAAGAA
This 274-nucleotide long non-coding RNA is filed under the name Homo sapiens (human). RNAcentral's name for it is "non-protein coding lnc-GCC2-2:1". The record is from RNAcentral. Lineage: Eukaryota; Metazoa; Chordata; Mammalia; Primates; Hominidae.